RNAcentral lists this transfer RNA (85 nucleotides) under Felis catus (domestic cat). It matches the Rfam family "tRNA". From Rfam's summary of the family: Transfer RNA (tRNA) molecules are approximately 80 nucleotides in length. Their secondary structure includes four short double-helical elements and three loops (D, anti-codon, and T loops). Lineage: Eukaryota; Metazoa; Chordata; Mammalia; Carnivora; Felidae. The record is from Rfam by way of RNAcentral.
ACCUGGGUGGCUCAGUCGGUUAAGCACCUGACUUUGGCUCAGGUCAUGAUCUCACAGCUCGUGGGUUCAAGCCCCACAUCGAGCU